This 395-nucleotide ribosomal RNA is filed under the name uncultured bacterium. RNAcentral's name for it is "bacterial SSU rRNA". It matches the Rfam family "Bacterial small subunit ribosomal RNA", at positions 997 to 1393 of the family's 1533-position model. The record is from RNAcentral.
AUCUAAGAGAUUAGACGUUCCCUUCGGGGACAUGGAUACAGGUGGUGCAUGGUUGUCGUCAGCUCGUGUCGUGAGAUGUUGGGUUAAGUCCCGCAACGAGCGCAACCCUUAUUAUCAGUUGCCAGCAUUAAGUUGGGCACUCUGGUGAGACUGCCGGUGACAAACCGGAGGAAGGUGAGGAUGACGUCAAAUCAUCAUGCCCCUUAUGACCUGGGCUACACACGUGCUACAAUGGAUGGUACAACGAGUUGCGAACUCGCGAGAGUAAGCUAAUCUCUUAAAGCCAUUCUCAGUUCGGAUUGUAGGCUGCAACUCGCCUACAUGAAGUCGGAAUCGCUAGUAAUCGCGGAUCAGCAUGCCGCGGUGAAUACGUUCCCGGGUCUUGUACACACCGA